CAAUUAUGGGUGCUACUCCAACAAGGUACUCCCUCCAAUACCAAUAAACAAAUACUCAAAAAGAAAGGAAUGCACACCAACUGAUACAAUAGUAUCUAUCUAAAUAUAUUUAUUAUAAUACAAUGCAAUUAUUACAUACACAAAUUGUAACAAUCUGAUAGUGACCAAAUAGGCAAAAAAAGGCUAAACCAUAUAAUUACCAAAUCUCACAAGCCUAUAUGGGCAGAAACCCGAGUCACAAACAGUCCCCCAACGUUUCGGCUCCUCCUGGCAGCCUUUAUCAAGGGUAGCUAUAUCAUAGCAUCAUCCAGGAACCCAUUAUAUACACAUAUACAACUUACUAAUUACUUACAGCUGAUGGCCAUCAGUGAUGUCACAAAGAGCCAAGACCGGAAGUGACAUCAUCACUUCAGAUCAUAGCCCUGUAUAAAGAAUUAAAUAACAUACAUAGUUAUUGUACAUUCCCAAUGUUAUUCCCAAACUGACUGCCUCAUUGAUGCAAAAAAUGUCCCACUACUGUACAAUCCACAAACCUUCUCGCCAGUCUAAAUGAAACGCGCAUGCGCAAUACAAACAAAAACGAUCACCACAUCGUCCACUGGCACCACAAACAUACCAACAUUAAUAUACUCCACAUAACCCCAAGGAAAUACCAAGCACUAAAGCUCUACAUAAACAAUAACAAAACGCGCAUUUCACCUUAUUUUGCUCGGCCAAUCAUACCGGGGUUCCCUUCCUACGGAAGCCUCCGAGAUCCACAUCUAAUAGAAAGUCGCAUCAAAAGAGCGCCGCGCCGCUCGCGCAUGCGCAUCCCCCAAAUUAAAG
This is a non-coding RNA of Pelobates cultripes (western spadefoot toad), 825 nucleotides long. Lineage: Eukaryota; Metazoa; Chordata; Amphibia; Anura; Pelobatidae. The record is from the annotation of a GenBank genome assembly.